Molecule: transfer RNA, 74 nt
Filed under: Mycobacterium phage DyoEdafos
Lineage: Duplodnaviria; Heunggongvirae; Uroviricota; Caudoviricetes; Vilmaviridae
Also listed under: 1 other name
Description: tRNA-Ile
Rfam family: tRNA
About the family: Transfer RNA (tRNA) molecules are approximately 80 nucleotides in length.
Source: RNAcentral
GCGCGGGUAGCUCAGUGGUUAGAGCACUGCUCUGAUAAGGCAGGGGUCCGUGGUUCAAAUCCACGUUCGCGCAC